Molecule: transfer RNA, 64 nt
Filed under: Opisthoteuthis sp. JN-2021
Lineage: Eukaryota; Metazoa; Mollusca; Cephalopoda; Octopoda; Opisthoteuthidae
Description: tRNA-Cys
Source: RNAcentral
GGUUAUAUAUUUUAAAAAAAAAAUUAAAUUGCAAAUUUAAAAAUACAUGUUAUUGUUAUAGCUU